AUACCUUCUCGGCCUUUUGGCUAAGAUCAAGUGUAGUAUCUGUUCUAAUCAGUGUGAAAACUGGUUUCCGACGUUUUUCGUUGGUCUUUUUCACAUUCAUUUUUGGGCAUCCCGUUGUCGCGCAGCUUGCUGUGCGAGGACGGGGCGGUUUCCGGGGGCUUUCACCUUUCCCCCGCGAGGCCAACUACAU
Small nuclear RNA from Phytophthora ramorum (sudden oak death agent), 190 nucleotides. It matches the Rfam family "U2 spliceosomal RNA". From Rfam's summary of the family: U2 is a small nuclear RNA (snRNA) component of the spliceosome (involved in pre-mRNA splicing). Complementary binding between U2 snRNA (in an area lying towards the 5' end but 3' to hairpin I) and the branchpoint sequence (BPS) of the intron results the bulging out of an unpaired adenosine, on the BPS, which initiates a nucleophilic attack at the intronic 5' splice site, thus starting the first of two transesterification reactions that mediate splicing. The record is from Rfam. NCBI's taxonomy places the organism in Eukaryota, Oomycota, Peronosporomycetes, Peronosporales, Peronosporaceae.